GCAGUCGUACGAGAUUAAACUCAAGUGGCGGACGGGUGAGUAACACGUAAGAAUUUGCCUUUAGGAGGGGGAUAACAGCUGGAAACGACUGCUAAUACCCCAUAUGCUUUCAAGUGAAAUGAAUUUUUUCGCCUAAAGAGAAGCUUGCGGCUGAUUAGCUUGUUGGUGAGGUAAUGGCUCACCAAGGCGACGAUCAGUAUCUGGUUUNGAGAGGACGAUCAGACACACUGGAACUGAGACACGGUCCAGACUCCUACGGGAGGCAGCAGUAGGGAAUUUUCCGCAAUGGGCGAAAGCCUGACGGAGCAAUCUCGCGUGAGGGAUGACGGCCUAUGGGUUGUAAACCUCUUUUUUCAGGGAGGAAUAAAUGACGUGUACCUGAAGAAUAAGCAUCGGCUAACUCCGUGCCAGCAGCCGCGGUAAGACGGAGGAUGCAAGUGUUAUCCGGAAUCACUGGGCGUAAAGCGUCUGUAGGUGGUUUAAUAAGUCAACUGUUAAAUCUUAAAGCUCAACUUUGAAAUCGCAGUCGAAACUAUUAGACUAGAGUAUAGUAGGGGUAAAGGGAAUUUCCAGUGGAGCGGUGAAAUGCGUAGAGAUUGGAAAGAACACCGAUGGCGAANGCACUUUACUGGGCUAUUACUAACACUCAGAGACGAAAGCUAGGGUAGCAAAUGGGAUUAGAUACCCUGGUAGUCC
RNAcentral lists this ribosomal RNA (696 nucleotides) under uncultured phototrophic eukaryote. Its description in RNAcentral is "bacterial SSU rRNA". It matches the Rfam family "Bacterial small subunit ribosomal RNA", at positions 57 to 796 of the family's 1533-position model. The record is from RNAcentral.